This 253-nucleotide ribosomal RNA is filed under the name uncultured prokaryote. Its description in RNAcentral is "partial 16S ribosomal RNA". It matches the Rfam family "Bacterial small subunit ribosomal RNA", at positions 524 to 776 of the family's 1533-position model. The record is from RNAcentral.
GACGGAAGGUGCAAGCGUUGCUCGGAAUCACUGGGUGUAAAGGGUGCGUAGGCGGCUUGGUAGGUCUGGUGUGAAAGCCCCGGGCUCAGCCCGGGAAGGGCACUAGAAACUGCCAAGCUAGAGUGCCGGAGGGGAGAGUGGAAUUCCUGGUGUAGCAGUGAAAUGCGUAGAUAUCGAGAGGAACACCAGUGGCGAAGGCGAGUCCCUGGACAACUUCUGACGCUGAGGCACGAAAGCUAGGGGAGCAAACAGG